RNAcentral lists this ribosomal RNA (468 nucleotides) under uncultured bacterium. Its description in RNAcentral is "partial 16S ribosomal RNA". It matches the Rfam family "Bacterial small subunit ribosomal RNA", at positions 28 to 507 of the family's 1533-position model. The record is from RNAcentral.
GACGAACGCUGGCGGCGUGCUUAAUACAUGCAAGUCGAACGGACAGGCCCUGCUUUUGUGGGGUGCUCGAGUGGCGAACGGGUGAGUAAAACGCGUGUAAACUGUCCUUGACAUUGGGAUAACAUAAGGAAAAUGGGGCGAAUAUCGGAUAGGAGCUCCUGCUGCAUGGUGGGGGAUGGAAAGUUUCGGCGGUUGGGGAUGGUCUCGAGGCUUAUCAGCUUGUUGGUGGGGUAGUGGCUUACCAAGGUUUCGAAGGAUAGGCGGCCUGAGAGGGUGGCCGGGCACAUUGGGACUGAGAGACGGCCCAGACUCCUACGGGAGGCAGCAGUGGGGAAUAUUGCACAAUGGGCGGGAGCCUGAUGCAGCAGCGCCGCGUGCGGGAAGACGGCCUUCGAGUGGAAAACCGCUUUCGCCUGUGACGAAGCGUGAGUGACGGUAAUGGGUAAGGAAGCACCGGCUAACUACGUG